This 2871-nucleotide ribosomal RNA is filed under the name Escherichia coli KTE211. Its description in RNAcentral is "bacterial LSU rRNA". It matches the Rfam family "Bacterial large subunit ribosomal RNA". The record is from RNAcentral. Lineage: Bacteria; Pseudomonadati; Pseudomonadota; Gammaproteobacteria; Enterobacterales; Enterobacteriaceae.
UUAAGCGACUAAGCGUACACGGUGGAUGCCCUGGCAGUCAGAGGCGAUGAAGGACGUGCUAAUCUGCGAUAAGCGUCGGUGAGGUGAUAUGAACCGUUAUAACCGGCGAUUUCCGAAUGGGGAAACCCAGUGUGUUUCGACACACUAUCAUUAACUGAAUCCAUAGGUUAAUGAGGCGAACCGGGGGAACUGAAACAUCUAAGUACCCCGAGGAAAAGAAAUCAACCGAGAUUCCCCCAGUAGCGGCGAGCGAACGGGGAGGAGCCCAGAGCCUGAAUCAGUGUGUGUGUUAGUGGAAGCGUCUGGAAAGGCGCGCGAUACAGGGUGACAGCCCCGUACACAAAAAUGCACAUACUGUGAGCUCGAUGAGUAGGGCGGGACACGUGGUAUCCUGUCUGAAUAUGGGGGGACCAUCCUCCAAGGCUAAAUACUCCUGACUGACCGAUAGUGAACCAGUACCGUGAGGGAAAGGCGAAAAGAACCCCGGCGAGGGGAGUGAAAAAGAACCUGAAACCGUGUACGUACAAGCAGUGGGAGCCUCUUAAUGGGGUGACUGCGUACCUUUUGUAUAAUGGGUCAGCGACUUAUAUUCUGUAGCAAGGUUAACCGAAUAGGGGAGCCGAAGGGAAACCGAGUCUUAACUGGGCGUUAAGUUGCAGGGUAUAGACCCGAAACCCGGUGAUCUAGCCAUGGGCAGGUUGAAGGUUGGGUAACACUAACUGGAGGACCGAACCGACUAAUGUUGAAAAAUUAGCGGAUGACUUGUGGCUGGGGGUGAAAGGCCAAUCAAACCGGGAGAUAGCUGGUUCUCCCCGAAAGCUAUUUAGGUAGCGCCUCGUGAAUUCAUCUCCGGGGGUAGAGCACUGUUUCGGCAAGGGGGUCAUCCCGACUUACCAACCCGAUGCAAACUGCGAAUACCGGAGAAUGUUAUCACGGGAGACACACGGCGGGUGCUAACGUCCGUCGUGAAGAGGGAAACAACCCAGACCGCCAGCUAAGGUCCCAAAGUCAUGGUUAAGUGGGAAACGAUGUGGGAAGGCCCAGACAGCCAGGAUGUUGGCUUAGAAGCAGCCAUCAUUUAAAGAAAGCGUAAUAGCUCACUGGUCGAGUCGGCCUGCGCGGAAGAUGUAACGGGGCUAAACCAUGCACCGAAGCUGCGGCAGCGACACUAUGUGUUGUUGGGUAGGGGAGCGUUCUGUAAGCCUGUGAAGGUGUACUGUGAGGUAUGCUGGAGGUAUCAGAAGUGCGAAUGCUGACAUAAGUAACGAUAAAGCGGGUGAAAAGCCCGCUCGCCGGAAGACCAAGGGUUCCUGUCCAACGUUAAUCGGGGCAGGGUGAGUCGACCCCUAAGGCGAGGCCGAAAGGCGUAGUCGAUGGGAAACAGGUUAAUAUUCCUGUACUUGGUGUUACUGCGAAGGGGGGACGGAGAAGGCUAUGUUGGCCGGGCGACGGUUGUCCCGGUUUAAGCGUGUAGGCUGGUUUUCCAGGCAAAUCCGGAAAAUCAAGGCUGAGGCGUGAUGACGAGGCACUACGGUGCUGAAGCGACAAAUGCCCUGCUUCCAGGAAAAGCCUCUAAGCAUCAGGUAACAUCAAAUCGUACCCCAAACCGACACAGGUGGUCAGGUAGAGAAUACCAAGGCGCUUGAGAGAACUCGGGUGAAGGAACUAGGCAAAAUGGUGCCGUAACUUCGGGAGAAGGCACGCUGAUAUGUAGGUGAAGCGACUUGCUCGUGGAGCUGAAAUCAGUCGAAGAUACCAGCUGGCUGCAACUGUUUAUUAAAAACACAGCACUGUGCAAACACGAAAGUGGACGUAUACGGUGUGACGCCUGCCCGGUGCCGGAAGGUUAAUUGAUGGGGUUAGCGGUAACGCGAAGCUCUUGAUCGAAGCCCCGGUAAACGGCGGCCGUAACUAUAACGGUCCUAAGGUAGCGAAAUUCCUUGUCGGGUAAGUUCCGACCUGCACGAAUGGCGUAAUGAUGGCCAGGCUGUCUCCACCCGAGACUCAGUGAAAUUGAACUCGCUGUGAAGAUGCAGUGUACCCGCGGCAAGACGGAAAGACCCCGUGAACCUUUACUAUAGCUUGACACUGAACAUUGAGCCUUGAUGUGUAGGAUAGGUGGGAGGCUUUGAAGUGUGGACGCCAGUCUGCAUGGAGCCGACCUUGAAAUACCACCCUUUAAUGUUUGAUGUUCUAACGUGGGCCCCUUACCGGGGUUGCGGACAGUGUCUGGUGGGUAGUUUGACUGGGGCGGUCUCCUCCUAAAGAGUAACGGAGGAGCACGAAGGUUGGCUAAUCCUGGUCGGACAUCAGGAGGUUAGUGCAAUGGCAUAAGCCAGCUUGACUGCGAGCGUGACGGCGCGAGCAGGUGCGAAAGCAGGUCAUAGUGAUCCGGUGGUUCUGAAUGGAAGGGCCAUCGCUCAACGGAUAAAAGGUACUCCGGGGAUAACAGGCUGAUACCGCCCAAGAGUUCAUAUCGACGGCGGUGUUUGGCACCUCGAUGUCGGCUCAUCACAUCCUGGGGCUGAAGUAGGUCCCAAGGGUAUGGCUGUUCGCCAUUUAAAGUGGUACGCGAGCUGGGUUUAGAACGUCGUGAGACAGUUCGGUCCCUAUCUGCCGUGGGCGCUGGAGAACUGAGGGGGGCUGCUCCUAGUACGAGAGGACCGGAGUGGACGCAUCACUGGUGUUCGGGUUGUCAUGCCAAUGGCACUGCCCGGUAGCUAAAUGCGGAAGAGAUAAGUGCUGAAAGCAUCUAAGCACGAAACUUGCCCCGAGAUGAGUUCUCCCUGACUCCUUGAGAGUCCUGAAGGAACGUUGAAGACGACGACGUUGAUAGGCCGGGUGUGUAAGCGCAGCGAUGCGUUGAGCUAA